CAUUCCAGCAUUAGUUCUAAAAUCUAAAAUCUAAACUCAUUCCAGCAUUAGUUCUAAAAUCUCAUCUAAAUAUCUUCCUAGUCAGAUAUGGGUGGAAUCGAACUGUGAUUCAUCCUGAGGCAAAAUUCCACUCCAUCAUUGAACCUAUGAAACCCAAUAAAUUGUGUGCCUCUAAAUACACAUAGCAGAACAGGCAUAGGACAUUUCCAUUACAAAAGGAAGAAAUCAGAAGGAAAAAGGACAACAAGACAUAAGCAAGUUCAAAACCUAUCAAGAAAAGACUGAAUGGUAUGUUGGUUGACUUCAAAAUAUUGCAGGUUGGAAUGCUGUUUGCAACUGAGCAGCCCAGGCAGAACUGGAUGUAAUGGGUGAUGAAAGCUCACACUGAGCCAAAGACAGAGUCCUUGAUCUGCCUUGAUCUGUGGAAAAAAGUCAUCUGCUUUUGUGGAUUCUUAGAGAAAAAAGGAAAUUGUAACUGAGGAGUGCUGAGAAAGGAGAGACAGGACCACCAAAAUAAAACAAUUUAUCAUUCAUCAUGAGAGCAUGCUCCUCAAAGUGUUAUACCUAUACUAUCUUUAUGAGAAGUAACUGGACAUGCUUUUGAAAAAAUACAGAUUUUAGGACCUUUACUUUCAGGAUUUAGAUUUCAGGACCCUUUACCAAACUCCAGAAUCUCCAGGAUUAGGGUCUGGACUAAACAUUUUCUAACUAGCCCUCCAACUGACUUUCAUGCACGUGAGAACUUUACUCA
This is a non-coding RNA of Microcebus murinus (gray mouse lemur), 751 nucleotides long. The record is from RefSeq and is a predicted model, not a curated record. Lineage: Eukaryota; Metazoa; Chordata; Mammalia; Primates; Cheirogaleidae.